RNAcentral lists this ribosomal RNA (222 nucleotides) under uncultured bacterium. RNAcentral's name for it is "partial 16S ribosomal RNA". It matches the Rfam family "Bacterial small subunit ribosomal RNA", at positions 524 to 743 of the family's 1533-position model. The record is from RNAcentral.
UACGUAGGGUCCGAGCGUUGUCCGGAAUUAUUGGGCGUAAAGAGCUCGUAGGUGGUUUGCUGCGUCCGACUAGUGAAAACCCAAGGCUUAACCUUGGGCUUGCAGUGGAUACGGGCAGACUAGAGGUAGGUAGGGGAGAAUGGAAUUCCCGGUGUAGCGGUGAAAUGCGCAGAUAUCGGGAGGAACACCGGUGGCGAAGGCGGUUCUCUGGGCCUUACCUGA